GAUGAACGCUAGCGGCAGGCUUAACACAUGCAAGUCGAGGGGUAUAGGUUUUCGGACCUAGAGACCGGCGCACGGGUGCGUAACGCGUAUGCAAUCUACCUUUUGCAGAGGGAUAGCCCAGAGAAAUUUGGAUUAAUACCUCAUAGUAUAACGCAAUCGCAUGAUUGAGUUAUUAAAGUAACAACGGCAAAAGAUGAGCAUGCGUCCCAUUAGCUAGAUGGUAAGGUAACGGCUUACCUUGGCUACGAUGGGUAGGGGUCCUGAGACGGAGCUCCCCCACACUGUUACUGAGCCGCGGACCAUACUCCUACGGGAGGCAGCAGGGAGGAAUAUUUGUCAAUUGACGCAAUGCUGAACCGGCCAUGCCGCGUGCAGGAUGACGGUCCUAUGGAUUGUAAACUGCUUUUGUACAGGAAGAAACACUCCUUCGUGAAGGAACUUGACGGUACUGUAAGAAUAAGGAUCGGCUAACUCCGUGCCAGCCGCCGCGGUAA
Molecule: ribosomal RNA, 494 nt
Filed under: uncultured bacterium
Lineage: Bacteria
Description: partial 16S ribosomal RNA
Rfam family: Bacterial small subunit ribosomal RNA
Source: RNAcentral